UAUACAACUUUCAGCAACGGAUCUCUUGGCUCUCGCUUCGAUGAAGAACGCAGCGAAAUGCGAUAAGUAAUGUGAAUUGCAGAAUUCAGUGAAUCAUCGAAUCUUUGAACGCAAGUUGCGCCCGAAGCCGUCAAGCCGAGGGCACGUCUGCAUGGGCGUCACGC
Molecule: ribosomal RNA, 164 nt
Filed under: Tetragonia tetragonoides
Lineage: Eukaryota; Viridiplantae; Streptophyta; Magnoliopsida; Caryophyllales; Aizoaceae
Description: 5.8S ribosomal RNA
Rfam family: 5.8S ribosomal RNA
About the family: 5.8S ribosomal RNA (5.8S rRNA) is a component of the large subunit of the eukaryotic ribosome.
Source: RNAcentral